AAGUGGACAAAAGGGGAGUGG
RNAcentral lists this microRNA (21 nucleotides) under Prunus persica (peach). Its description in RNAcentral is "ppe-miR6263". Lineage: Eukaryota; Viridiplantae; Streptophyta; Magnoliopsida; Rosales; Rosaceae. The record is from miRBase by way of RNAcentral.